GGUUGCUUUGCCUGAACAGACUGCCCAGUGACUCUGGGUCACUGUUUUCUCAUCUGUAAAAUUGGAACAGCUUAGGAGACAAGGGUCGGGAGGAUUAAAUGAAGGAUCGUAGUGAGGCACAGGACCAGGCACAGCCCAACACUGGCACAGACAGCGCACGUUUAGGACUGAUAACAAUGAAGCCUGGCGGGCUGGGCCCUGGCUGUGAAACCUGUCUCCUCCCCUCCUGCCCAUGGGCUGCUGCAGGUCCUCUGUCCCUCAGGCACAGCGUUGUCUUGCCCACGUCUCUGCCCACUGCUGCGUCAGGGCUCCAUCCUGGGGCCCCUGCCCAGGCCUCUCAGUGCUCAGCCCCCUGUGGCAGUAGUGUCCAGCGGUGCCUGAUGAAGUGUGUCAACACCCAGACGGGGUUGCCCGAGGAAGACAGCGACCAGUGUGGCCAUGAGGCCUGGCCUGAGAGCUCCCAGCCGUGUGGCACCGAGGAUUGUGAGCCUGUCGAGCCUCACCGUGAGUCCCCUGACCCCA
RNAcentral lists this long non-coding RNA (522 nucleotides) under Macaca nemestrina (pig-tailed macaque). Its description in RNAcentral is "lncRNA (ENSMNEG00000045849.1)". The record is from RNAcentral. Lineage: Eukaryota; Metazoa; Chordata; Mammalia; Primates; Cercopithecidae.